RNAcentral lists this ribosomal RNA (461 nucleotides) under uncultured bacterium. RNAcentral describes it as "partial 16S ribosomal RNA". It matches the Rfam family "Bacterial small subunit ribosomal RNA", at positions 338 to 795 of the family's 1533-position model. The record is from RNAcentral.
CCUACCGGGAGGCAGCAGUGAGGAAUAUUGGUCAAUGGGCGGAAGCCUGAACCAGCCAAGUCGCGUGAGGGAUUAAGGCCCUGCGGGUCGUAAACCUCUUUUCCCGGGGAGAAGAGGUCCGGACGUGUCCGGGCCGGGAGAGUACCCGGAGAAAAAGCAUCGGCUAACUCCGGGCCAGCAGCCGCGGUCAUACUGAAGAUGCGAGUGUUAUCCGGAUUUAUUGGGUUUAAAGGGUGCGUAGGCGGGCAUUUAAGCCGUCGGUCAAAUGUCGGGGCUCAACCCCGGCCUGCCGUCGGAACUGGGUGCCUUGAGUGGGCAAGAAGUAUGCGGCAUGCGUGGUGUAGCGGUGAAAUGCAUAGAUAUCACGCAGAACCCCGAUUGCGAAGGCAGCAUACCGGCGCCCUACUGACGCUGAGGCACGAAAGUGCGGGUAUCGAACAGGAUUAGAUACCCUUGUAGUC